Molecule: ribosomal RNA, 468 nt
Filed under: uncultured bacterium
Lineage: Bacteria
Description: partial 16S ribosomal RNA
Rfam family: Bacterial small subunit ribosomal RNA
Source: RNAcentral
GACGAACGCUGGCGGCGUGCUUAACACAUGCAAGUCGAACGGAAAGGCCCUGCUUUUGUGGGGUGCUCGAGUGGCGAACGGGUGAGUAACACGUGAGUAACCUGCCCUUGACUUUGGGAUAACUUCAGGAAACUGGGGCUAAUACCGGAUAGGAGCUCCUGCUGCAUGGUGGGGGUUGGAAAGUUUCUGCGGUUGGGGAUGGACUCGCGGCUUAUCAGCUUGUUGGUGGGGUAGUGGCUUACCAAGGCUUUGACGGGUAGCCGGCCUCAGAGGGUGACCGGUCACCUUGGGACUGACAUCCGGCCCAGACUCCUACGGGGGGGAGCUGUGGGGAAUCUUGCACUAUGGGCGGAAGCACGAUGGAGCAACGCCGCGUGCCGGAUGCCGGCCUUCGGGUUGUAAACCGCUUUCGCCUGUGACGAAGCGUGAGUGACGGUAAUGGGUAAAGAAGCACCGGCUAACUACGUG